AUUGCAUUAAGACACAUUUAUUGUGAACUAGGAACAUAAGGUUUACUUUUCCUUUCACAUGUACACAUGUAUACAGGUAUGAUGAAAGCAUCAAGAGAACAAGGUCAGCAGGAGUGGAUGUUUCCAGCCUACGCUGGGACUGGGAGCACACAACAAUGUAGCAAUAACAACACAGGGCAGUGACAUGCACUUCACCAGUAGCACAGUACUACUAUUCAGCCAGACUGAAGUCAGGGGUGAUGAAGACGAUGCUGCCUUUGGUGUGCUGGAACUGCGGCGAGGAGGAAACGCUGCCCAUACCAGCAGAGAAGACUGCUGCAUACCAGACAAUAAACCCUGUUUGUCAGGUCUGCAAAAUGUAAUGAAAGAAACAGAACGGG
Long non-coding RNA from Branchiostoma belcheri (Belcher's lancelet), 380 nucleotides. RefSeq lists it as uncharacterized. Lineage: Eukaryota; Metazoa; Chordata; Leptocardii; Amphioxiformes; Branchiostomatidae. The transcript has 3 exons. The record is from RefSeq and is a predicted model, not a curated record.